This 512-nucleotide long non-coding RNA is filed under the name Homo sapiens (human). RNAcentral's name for it is "GLINC-3.2". Lineage: Eukaryota; Metazoa; Chordata; Mammalia; Primates; Hominidae. The record is from RNAcentral.
AGGCUUUUCAUCGGUGGAGUGGAAGAACAAUAGCAGAGAGAGCUGCCCCCAGUGGAAGGGGAGCUAUCGGAAGCCUUGGAUGCCCAGGAGCUGAGGAGGGAACCAUGCUGUGAUGCCAGUUUUAACCACCUGCCAAGUCUGAAAGUGCUAAUUGAAAACCUGAAGCAAAGGACGUAUUACAAAGAUUUUGGAGAAUGCAUGGAAUAAAGGAAGGACUGAACAAUUAAGCUAUGGGAAGAACUGAAACACAGAAGUUCCAAGACCUCCAGAAGCUGGGGAAUGGAAACAUGCUUUCUAUAGCAUUGCCUAGCGUCGUGCAACUCUGACACUCUCUGUUUCUAUGUAUCUCAAUUCAGGUUUUCCAAUUAUUAGAAGAAUUAAUCUAACUGAACAAACUUGGGUCAGAUAUCUGUAUUUUGAGAGCAUAUAGCUAUGUCCAGGGGACAGAGUAGAAUACAUAGGCUUAUCCUUGGGGUAACUACAUGGAGCUGAGCAACCAUCGCAGUUUGUGU